RNAcentral lists this transfer RNA (66 nucleotides) under Lispe pumila. Its description in RNAcentral is "tRNA-Thr". It matches the Rfam family "tRNA". From Rfam's summary of the family: Transfer RNA (tRNA) molecules are approximately 80 nucleotides in length. Their secondary structure includes four short double-helical elements and three loops (D, anti-codon, and T loops). Lineage: Eukaryota; Metazoa; Arthropoda; Insecta; Diptera; Muscidae. The record is from RNAcentral.
GUUUUAAUAGUUUAACAAAAACAUUGGUCUUGUAAAUCAAAAAUAAAAUAUAAAUUUUUUAAAACU